GACGAACGCUGGCGGCGUGCUUAACACAUGCAAGUCGAACGAAGUGGCGAACGGGUGAGUAACGCGUAAUCAACCUGCCCUUCAGAGGGGGACACAAGUUGGAAACGACUGCUAAUCCCGCAUACUGAAGGAGGGGAUUGCGUCUGAUUAGCUAGUGGGAGGGGUAAUGGCCCACCAAGGCGAGGAUCAGUAGCCUGUCUGAGGGGAUGACCGGCCACAUUGGAACUGCGACACGGCCCAGUCGCCUACGGGGGGCAGCAGUGGGGAAUCUUCCGCAAUGAACGAAAUUCUGAGGGGGCAACGCCGCGUGCUUGAUGACGGCCUUCGGGUUGUAAAGCUCUUUAAGCCGGGACGCGUUACCGGAAUAGAAAGCCACGGCUAACUACGUGCCAGCCGCCGCGGUAAUAC
Molecule: ribosomal RNA, 408 nt
Filed under: uncultured bacterium
Lineage: Bacteria
Description: partial 16S ribosomal RNA
Rfam family: Bacterial small subunit ribosomal RNA
Source: RNAcentral